UAAGGAUGAACGCUGGCGGCAUGCCUAACACAUGCAAGUCGUACGCGAUCACUUUUUUCGCUCGCAGGUGCUGAAUAGCAAUAUUCUGCCAUUGCGAGCGGAAUGAAUGAGUGAUUGAGUGGCGGACGGGUGAGUAACACGUUGGUACCUGCCCUAGAGUGGGGAAUAAUUCACCGAAAGGUGGACUAAUACCCCAUAGUCUUAUGCUUGUCAUAAGUAAAGCUUCGGCGCUCUAGGAGGGGCCUGCGUUUGAUUAGCUAGUUGGCGGGGUAAAGGCCCACCAAGGCGACGAUCAAUAGCUGGAUCGAGAGGUUGACCAGCCACACUGGGACUGAGAUACGGCCCAGACUCCUACGGGAGGCAGCAGUGAGGAAUCUUCCACAAUGGGCGCAAGCCUGAUGGAGCAAUGCCGCGUGCAGGAAGACGCUUUUCGGAGUGUAAACUGCUUUUCUGAAGGAAGAUUAUGACGGUACUUCAGGAAUAAGGAUCGGCUAACUACGUGCCAGCAGCCGCGGUAAUACGUAGGAUCCAAGCGUUAUCCGGAAUUACUGGGCGUAAAGCGUGCGCAGACGGUUUGGUAGGUCUGGUGCGAAAUCCGGUGGCUCAACCACCUGGACUGUACCAGAAACCCCCUGACUCGAGGUCGGUAGAGGCAAGUGGAAUUGCUGGUGUAGGGGUGACAUCCGUAGAUAUCAGCAGGAACACCAAUGGCGAAGGCAGCUUGCUGGGCCGUACCUGACGUUCAGGCACGAAAGCGUG
Molecule: ribosomal RNA, 759 nt
Filed under: uncultured microorganism
Description: bacterial SSU rRNA
Rfam family: Bacterial small subunit ribosomal RNA
Source: RNAcentral